GGGACAGGGGCUGCUGCCUCCCUGGAUUUGAGGCAGAGUUAGUUCCGCCUCUCUGACAUCAUGGAAACGGAGGCCCUCGGAAGGCGGAGGUCUGGGCCAAGCACUCCCUCCACCCCCGCCCGGGCUCCCGCCUUUGCAGCUGCCUGCCCCAUGCACCCGGCCUGCUUGAGAGACUUUCUAACUGGAUGAACUCCUUCAUUAAGUGCUCUGCUCCUUAGGGAGAGCCUAAUUUUAGUGUUACCAUGCCAGCAGCCAGCUGGGGUGACAUGUCACAAUCUCUGAGCCAAAGUCAGAAAGAGGAGGGGGGAGAGGAGGGUCCCUUGCUGAACUGCUAAGGCUCAAACAGAAACUUAGAAGCUGCCAGAGCCUCCCUGACCGCUGAGUUUCUGAGCUAGGAAUUAUCAAGUGGUCAAGGGACCCACCGCUAUCAAGGAAGUAUCUGAGGGACACAUUCCAUGCCAAGUGGAACGGUUACUUCUGUCGGUGAGGCACACUGGUGGGACGGGAGGUGGACCUGAGUCGGAAAGAUCUGGUUCUUCCUAGAAAACUUUCACCUUCUGAGCCUUAGGGUCCUGUUCUGUAAGUCAGGAUGGAAAAUACCGGCACCUCUUUCAAUCUGUAACCCUGACCCAUCCUGGACCCAUGUGGUCCACUCUAUGGAGCCGCAUUCAAAAGUCAAGUCCAGAUAAAUCAGCCAAGAGUCACAAAAAGGAACGCUGAGACUGAAUCUGUCUCUUGAAAAACUGAAGGAGAUGAAACGUAAAACCUAGGCCAAUACGGCAUCCCAUCUUCCUCCUCUCCAUUAUUUUCCCGCACCCCAUGAUUUUCUGGGGCCUCUGAUAUACUCAUUGCCACUGGUGUCGCCCCCAUGAACUCACACCAAAGACGGUUUUCAUUCCCCCCGCCCAUCACCCCAAGUCUUUCCCGUCAUCUCUCCCUUCUCCUCUCUCUGCUCCUUCUUUCUCCUUCUCUCUAGUUCUUUCAUCUACCCACCUGCCCACCUUUCUUUCCUCCUUCCAGCACCUGGUCUUACUAUUCUUUGCCCAUUCACCCAUUGCACAUCAAGAAUUAGAAAGAGAUCAGCUCUUCUCAUAGGCCCAGCAGAGCAGAGGAGGCCAGGGCAGCCCAGCAUUCCCCAGGGAGCGGGAGGGGAAAGACCAGGAACAUUCACUUGCCAGCCAUUGGAGACCCUACGAGGACAGGAAGAAACGCGUGACAAGUUGUCGGGGGUGAGUGUACAGUGAAGAGUAAACAUGCAGUUGAUGUUGACGAUGGUGACAGUGACUACUGGCUGAACUUCAUUAACGAUGAGACGCACCCAGUCCACUGAGGCGUCUCUGGAACCAUAACCAGCCUCCUUCCUAGUUACUGUCAACCAAAGCCGCCCUGUCCUAGUGCUGUGAGCAGGACACGCUGCCUGAAUAGCACGAUGAAAUAUCUGUGCAAAACCCAACAUGUCUGAAGCAAGAACCCUACCCGCUCCAGAGGAUGAAUGCUCCUUUGAGCCUCAGAGUCUGUGGUUUUAGUUUGUACCCAGAGAAUUGUUUAAUUUUUAAAAGACCAUGAAAUGAUCUCACAAAAUCCACCCUAUAUCAAGCCCCAAAGCAAACCACAGCGAUCCACACCCGUGUCUUACAUUUGCAUGGAGUCUGGGCUCUAAGUGGACUCUUCUGAUCAGCUGCACAUUAUUUACUUUUGAAAGAUUAAUGACUUCAUUCUUUUGCGAAAGAUGAUGCAUGCUCAUUGCAAAAAAUCUAAACUGUACUGAAAAGCACAAAGAAGAGGAUAAGUUUUAAAAGGCCUCAAAAAUCCCACAACCCAGAAAUAGCCACCAUUAAUAUUUGGUGAACAUCAUUCCAGCGAAGUCUCAUUUAAACUUGCAAAAUACAACCAGCCCUGAGGUUCAAGUGAUUCUCCUGCCUCAGCCUCCCAAGAAGCUGGGAUUACAGGUGUGCACCACCAUGCCCAGCUAAUUUUUGUAUUUUUAGUAGAGAUGGGCUUCACCAUGUUGGCCAGGCUGGUCUUGAACUCCUGAUCUCACGUGAUCCACCCGCCUCGGCCUCCCAAAGUGCUGGGAUUACAGGCGGCAGCCACUGCGCCUGGCCAACUCUUCAGGGCUUCUGACUGCCGUGUGCCCAGGCCAAAGUGAUCCCACAGCCAGAAAAAAGCAUGCGCUCUGCAGGGUCACAGGUGUUCAUGGUGCACAGCUGGCAGCCCUCACGCGAUGCUGAGGGGGUGGCCAGCUGCAGCUUCUGCCAGAGGAUUGUUGGUGUUCUCUGUGCACAGAAGCCUAUCAUGGCCCCGAGAGGUCAAGAGACUUGCCCAGAGUCAAGCAGCUAGAAAGGGACAAUUCAGGAAUGAAAACUGGCUCUGGCCACUGCAAAGCUCUUUCCAUCACAUCAGUGAGGGCCACGAUGGUCGGGUGAAGAGGAUAUCAGAUUUGCCAAGAGAUCCUGAAGAAGUGUCAAGAAUGCUUGGUGACACAAGGACAAGAUCCAGAAACAAGAUCCACAAGGCUCUGAGAGUGGAGGCCAGAAAACAGUUUGCCAAGGUCUGGCUUUAAAAGUCAAAUUCCAGCCUAGGAGUAAGCAUGCAAAGAAGAUGCUCAACGUCAUUAGCCCUCGGGAAAACGCAAGCUAAAACCAUAAAGAGAUACGACUUCGUCCUACGAGGAUGGCUGUAAUAGAAAAUGACAGACAACGCCAAGUGUUGGCAAAGGUGUGGAGAAACUGGGAAUCUUGUGUGUUGCUGGUGGGAAGGUAAACUGGUACAGCCACCUUGGAAAAUUGUUUGAAAGUUUCUUAAAACAUUAUACAUAAAUUUAUCAUAUGACCCAGCAAUUCUGUUCCUAGAAAUCUACCCAAGAGAAAGAGAAACAAACUCCAAAGACAUGCCCAAGAAUGUCCAUAGCAGCAUUCUUCACAGAAACAACUUAAAUUCAUCAACUGAUGAAUGGAUAAACAAGAUGUGGUAUAGCCAUUCAACCAAACAGUAUUUGGCAAUAAAAAGGAUUGAAUUACCCACAUGCUACAAGACGGAUGCAACUCAUAACCACUACACUAAGGGAAAGAAGCCAGAUAAGAAAGACAUAGUGUAUGAUUUCUCUUAUGUGAAAUGUCUAGAAAGGCAAUUUCACAGAGACAGAAAGUGGAACAUUCAUUGCCUGGGGCACAGAACAGGAAUGAGACUGCAAACAAGCAUGAGGGCAUCUUUCAAGAUGGUGGAAAUGCUCUAAAACUGAAUUGUGGUGAUGACUGUACAACUUUAUAAAUUUACUAAGAUCACUGAAUUGUGUACUCACAGUGGGUGAAUUUUAUGGUAUGUGGAUUCCAUUUCAAUAAUGCUAUUUUUUAAAAAUGCUAUCCUAGGGAGGUAGUCAUCAGACAAAACCAAAGGUAGUAUGGCUCAGUGGCGAAGCGUAUAGGCUUCACGAGCAGACUCCAGAUCAAAUCUAAGCUCUACUUCAUCCAUCCACCCAUCCAUCAUCUACUCACCCACCUACCAUUCACCCACACAUCCAUCCAUCUGCCC
This 3531-nucleotide long non-coding RNA is filed under the name Homo sapiens (human). RNAcentral describes it as "HSALNT0387305". Lineage: Eukaryota; Metazoa; Chordata; Mammalia; Primates; Hominidae. The record is from RNAcentral.